Molecule: ribosomal RNA, 497 nt
Filed under: uncultured bacterium
Lineage: Bacteria
Description: partial 16S ribosomal RNA
Rfam family: Bacterial small subunit ribosomal RNA
Source: RNAcentral
GAUGAACGCUGGCGGCGUGCCUAAUACAUGCAAGUCGAGCGAACAGACGAGGAGCUUGCUCCUCUGACGUUAGCGGCGGACGGGUGAGUAACACGUGGAUAACCUACCUAUAAGACUGGGAUAACUUCGGGAAACCGGAUCUAAUCCCGGAUAAUAUAUUGAACCGCAUGGUUCAAUAGUGAAAUACAGUUUUGCUGUCACUUAUAGAUUGAUCCUCGCCGCAUUAGCUAGUUGGUAAGGUAACGGCUUACCAAGGCAACGAUGCGUAGCCGACCUGAGAGGGUGAUCGGCCACACUGGAACUGAGACACGGUCCAGACUCCUACGGGAGGCAGCAGUAGGGAAUCUUCCGCAAUGGGCGAAAGCCGGACGGAGCAACGCCGCGUGAGUGAUGAAGGUCUUCGGAUCGUAAAACUCGGUUAUUAGGGAAGAACAAAUGUGUAAGUAACUAUGCACGUCUUGACGGUACCUAAUCAGAAAGCCACGGCUAACUACGUG